This 4572-nucleotide long non-coding RNA is filed under the name Solanum tuberosum (potato). RNAcentral's name for it is "long non-coding RNA (STUB_LNC008029)". Lineage: Eukaryota; Viridiplantae; Streptophyta; Magnoliopsida; Solanales; Solanaceae. The record is from RNAcentral.
UGUACUUUUGCUCUUGAAUUGCUAUGUAUAUUUAUUUUUUUACAACAAUGUAUAUUGGUUAAAGAUUGUCUUCACUUUCCUUUGCUGCACCCAAAUUGCUGCUUAAUUGCCCUAGCUUCACAAGAUUUGAUCUUUCUUCUCUUUCCCCCCCAUUUUGGUGUUGAAACUUUGCCCCAAAAAGUCAUCCAUCUUCUUUGCUAAUUUUAAGGUCAUGGUGCUGAAUCAGAGUAAUUUCUGGUAUUAAAAGUAAGUGCUGGAUUGGAACUUCCAAAAUUUGAUGAGAAAAACAAGAAUUUCUUCCCUUUUUGUGUCUUUAUUUUUUACGUCUUCACUACUCUAUUUCUCUCAAUUUCGUAUUGUAUUUUAAUUUAUAUUAUGUUCAUGCUUUUGGAUCAUUUAGUCGAUUUUGACUGGAAAAACCACUGCUAAUUCGACUUUAAUAUUGGUGUUAAGUGUUCUCCUUUUUAAUUUUUGACAGAGUAGUCUUCUUACACCAAAAUUUGGAAAUGCUCAGUAAAUAUUUCUAAUCUUCCUUCCAUCUCUUUUAUGCGUUUUGUCUAAUCGCGUUUGAUGUUUUCUCUAAUCCAUUCAUUAGAGCAUGUUUAUUGAAAUCUAAUAAUAUUCUUGGGUGUUCCGAUUUUUCUACAUUAUGGUUUACUAUUUUCUUUCAAGGGUAAAGUUCUGCCUUCCUUUGCACAUAACAUGUUUGGUGAAAGUUAUGUUCAAAUUGUUAGAGUAAUGAUCCAUUGAUUCGUAGUAUAUAUGUAGUCGACUUCUGUAACAUCAUAAAGUAAUGGAUUACAAGUGUCGGUGAAAGAAACAAAAGGAAAAUGACCUCUUCGACUACAAUUGAACAUAGAAUUAUUUCAAGUUGUGCUCAUAUACUUCACAUUGAUUGGUUUCCAUAUCUUCUAUGAGAUUGCUGGAGAUCUUGGUAAUUUGCAGUCUCUACUGCGAAGAGGAAAAAUGACUAUUUUGUGAACUCUCUUUGUUCAUGAUUAAUGUUUAUUUCAAUUUAAGACAAUAUUAGCUAUUCAUAGUCUCAUCAGCCUUUGCUACAAAGAUUGAAGCUUGAAUGGUUUGUCGCUCUUUAAGUUUUCACUUUCUUCUUUUGUUUAAUUCAAUGGACAACUCCCUAAGGAGCUCAAGAUAUUUAUUUUUUUUAGUUUUGACUCGAUAUUUGAACUUAAGAAUAACUUGUGUUGGUUCAUUGAUGUCAGAAAUAAUUGAAAUUCUUUGAACUUUAUUUCAGCCUUCCCAAACUAAAACAGAGGUGUACAACUACUAUAUUUGAUGUGGAGUAUCUUAAUUAGAUGUGUGUUUUUCUUUCAUAUAUGAAUCUUGAUAUUUAAGGUGCAGUUAUUUUGAAGUGUCGUGUCUUCAUUAUUCUUUGUAAUGAUUUUUCUUGGCUAUAGCUGGGAACUUUUCUUUGCAUGAAUUAGUGAAAAAUAUUGAUUAUUAAGUCUCUGUUUUAAGUUACAGUUCAUGUUGUAAAUCCUUCUACUGAUUACCAUUUUGUUGAAGUGCUUAGUUAUAACAGGGGACCUUAAUUUGGUAUGUAAGAUUUGAAGAAGAAAGAUGAGUUCAACCAUGCAGGGGUUGCUAUUGAAGAGAAAUACAAAUGACAUUUACCUGAGAAAAUUACUAAAUGAGGAGUAUGCAUAAGAGCAAUUUCAAGUUUAUCACCCUUCUAGCAUUGAUGUAAGUUGUUCUACUUGGAGUAAGUCAUUAGGUGCUAUCAGCAAGAAGCUAAUGAAUUUUUAAAUUUCCCAACUACCAUAAAAAAAAAAGCAAAAUCUUUCAGCUCUGGCAAUUUUGAGGCAUAUUUCAGAUCCUACAUUAACUACAUGUAAAAAAAGUACUACUCACUUAGCCUUGAAAUGAUAUGUAUUAUUGAUCAUGUUUUAUUUUUUUUGUACCCAGUAAUCAAGACUAUCAGUAAAUUAGAUGAAAUGAGAAAAAUAAGCUACAACAUGCUUUUAUCUGGCAAGAGACGCUCAAGUUAUUAAUGUUAGAGGAAAGAUUAAUGGCAGAGUGAAUCUGAGUCCAUAUACUCCAUCCCUCUGUAUCAUCAUCUUUGGUUUACCUAAAAGUGUUCAUUAUAGUUUUAUUAGAUUUAGAAAUUACAAUGUCCAAGUGCGGUAAUUUAUAUAGCACCAAGUGCUGACGAUUUUACUUGGUAAAACAAAGUACAAACUAAAGUUCUAAUCUUUAGCAGGACAAAGAAAAAUAUGUCCAUGAUAUCUUAAGAUUGCUUUCUAUUAAGAGUAGCCAAAGAGUAAAAGAAAAAAUAUGCCCAUGAUAUCAUAAGAUUGCUUUCUAUUAAGUAGCCAAAGAGUUGAUCCAAUUUUAUUUCCCUUUUUUUUGACCUAUUUUGGUCAAUAUAAACGUAAGUUCAAAGAUAAAUUCUCAUUCAUCUUUUUUCUUUCUAUUAAGAGUAGUCAAAGGUUCUUUUGGAUUAGUUAGAACAUGUAUGGCAAGUACAAUGAAAGUUAAAUGAUAAAAGAACUACUUUCUUCUAUCUAGAUCUUAUGAUAUUAUCAUGGGGAUAUAAAUUUUUAAUCUGCAGAAAUUGUGAAGAUCUUUCUUGACCAAUCCCUUUGACACUCAUUCUUCAAGGAAUAAGGAAGAGUAUUUUUAAGUUUGAAUUUGUUCAUUUAGAAUCUAAUUUCUUCUGCUUCAUAUUAAUUUAAUAUGAAUAUCAUCCCUCUCUUUUUUGUUGAUACAUUUAACAUAAACUUGCCCCACUAUUUCUGGUGUGUGGCCUUUUCAGUAAUUUGCAGGAAUAACAGAUUACAUUUUCUGGGCACUGAAUAGACAGGUUCUCAUAUGAAGUGAAAGGAUUCUUAGCUUUUGAUUUGUGAUGAACAUAAAUGAAAUAGGACUUCAUAUGUGGUAUUGAGGUUUUCUAUUUCUCUCAACUUUACCUGAAGUUUGCCUUGCAAAGUUUUCUCUAACUUUUGCCUAAUUAUGCCCUCAUUUUCAUUCUCGGGCUAAUUAAAAUUUCAUUUAUCAAAAACUAUCGUAAUUGAUUCAUCUUCAUCUAUUUCGAUUUAGUAAAUUAGUGAUCUACCAACAAAGGUGUUUGUAUGUUGUUAAUGAAAACACAUACUGCCUUUUCUAUUCUCUUCAAGUCUUUUUCCUAUCAUCUUCUUCCUCUACUUUUUUCAGCUACAUCUAUCUCACUCAACUUCUAUUUCUCCUUUUCAGAUUUUUACUUCUUAACCUCUUUAUAGGUUGUGAGUUUCCAAUUUUGAGUUCAUUUCAAACGAACACAGGGUGUUCUUUUUAAAUUUAGGUGCCAUAAUCCCUCAAUGUCUUCUCAUAUGUGUCUUUGCGUUUUUGUGAUGUUUGAGUUUUAACUGUAAGAGUGGUUUAAGGAAAUAUGGAUUAUAUAAGAGGAGAAAAUAGAGUUGCAGCUAACGGUUCAUCUCUGGCACAGAUUCAUUUCACAAGCUGUCCCUUUUUGUUAAAAUUAACUUGUGACCUAGACUAAUUCCUUUGAUUUUGCUAAAUCUAAACAGGAAACAACAUUUUACAACUACUAUCUUGCUUUGGUGAUGAUGAGGGACAACCCCAGAAAAUUAUGCUAUUGACGUCCCAUUAUUUGAAUGAGCAAACCUAGCCAAAAUUGUGGUAAGAACAGAAUCGUCUCUGGCAGCAACAUAAUUGUUAACAGUGAAACAACUUCAGCACUUUGAACAUUCUUCAGCUACAAUUUGUUGAGGCUAACAAUGAAAUAACUUUGCUAGAACAGCUUCUGUUUGGCAUGUUUGUUGUUACCUCCUGUCUUUGAUGAGAAUUAAUUGUUGCCUUUGAUGAGGUUGGCUGCUAUGGUUUGACACCUCAUUUUGAGGUUGAAUCACUGUUGUGUUUUGACCUUUUUCUGCUCCAUUUUUGUGAUGUAUUCUAAACCAUGGGCUGCUGUAUUUUUUAUUUUACUGCUGCUGAAUUUUAGACUAAGCUAUUUGUUACACUUUUGAUCAAAUUUGAGUCCAUUGUUGCUAUGUGUCAAGCUAAAUUUUGCUACACAUUUGAGCCAAUGGUUGCUAUGUAUUGAGCUAAACUUUGCUGCACUUUUAAGUUUGCCAACUGCGGCGUUUUUGUCAAAAAUAUUGCUGCUACAAAUGUUGCACUUUGGGCAGAAGUUGAGGCUUAAGGAUUGCUGCAUUUUUGCUAAAUUAUUGCUGCAUUUUUUAGCUGAUUGGGGUUCAUUAUUGCUCUGCGUUUUUGGUGAAAAUUUUGUUACUUUUAAGGCUAUUUGAAACAGUUGCUUCACCUAAAUGUUUACAGGACGAUGAAAUUCAAUUUGAGGCCAUGCUCCUUUGAAAUAUCCCUCGGUUAGGGCCAUUUGACAAAAGGUGAUAAAAAAGGUAUCUAAAUAGUGAUAAGGCAAAAAAACUCACGCAUGCACAUGUAUCUUGGCGAGGUAACCAGAAUGGCUGAUGAGCCACUUAGCUAGCUUGCAGCCAUGGCAUGCCAGAUUUUCUUUCGUUCGAAAAUCAAUUACAUAUCGCUCACUUGAUGGACCGAUUUCAGAAAAUGCUCUCGAGAAUGUCCGUUUCCUUUUGU